This 164-nucleotide ribosomal RNA is filed under the name uncultured bacterium. RNAcentral describes it as "partial 16S rRNA". It matches the Rfam family "Bacterial small subunit ribosomal RNA", at positions 355 to 511 of the family's 1533-position model. The record is from RNAcentral.
UAGGGAAUCUUCCGCAAUGGGCGAAAGCCUGAUGGAGCAACGCCGCGUGUGUGAUGAAGGGUUUCGGCUCGUAAAACACUGUUGUAAGAGAAGAAUGACAUUGAGAGUAACUGUUCAAUGUGUGACGGUAUCUUACCAGAAAGGAACGGCUAAAUACGUUCCAG